AUCAAAUCUCAGGAAAUAGCUACCCACUUGAACAAGAGAGGAUGAAGUAAAUAAAACCAAAAUGAUCUAUUUGAAGGUGGAGCGGGAGUAAGACCACUAGAAAGCAGCAUGCUGCCAGACCACCACAGGACCCUAGAGAUAUUACAGUCUGCUUAUGAACCAGAUAUUGAAUUUGAAUUGUGUUGGGCUGUCCGUCAGAAAAGUUCCAAAGACUAUCCAUCAACCAAUUACAAACUACCUUUGAGGGGCCAGGAGCUGCUCUAUGCUGCUAUGCCCAUCAAUUGAGCUGUAGAAAAAAACUCACCUCCAGCCUCACCUUUUGCCUGCUCACCAACAGUUGUCAAUAGGGAGAACAGAAUUAGAAACAUGUAUGGAGGCAGCACAUGGAGACUUGCAAGAUGAUGUGAAGUCCAGACUGACAGGCGGGCUUGAUACGGAUGUCUCCGAAUGGAGAAAGACCUGGCACUCGGCAGUAACAUUUUACAAGACAACUUUUACCAUUUAAUUCAAUAAAAAAAUAAAGGAUCAGACUAGAUGUGGGGGGAGAAACCCUGUGUUUUCUGCACCAGGAUCCGGGAACUGCUGUUGUGAACAGGACACCACACAGGAAUUAUUAUAUAUUAUAAUAUUAUGUGAAGUGUUGUUUAUUCUACAUGGACCUGUGACUACAUCUGAAAGUUAGCAAAACACUUAGUUCAGAAUAUAUACAUAAAUUUAGCAAUUACAUUAAUCUCAUGUUACUCUUCAGGCUGCUGAUCUAUUCAAAGCUUCUCUAUAUCUGCCUGUAGUUAUUGAGCUCAACUCUGCAGGAGGUUUGUUUGUUGUAACUGAGUGGGGGGAAACAGUUGUGGGCAAGGUUCUGACAGAUGGGUGUGUUUUGGUGGUGGCAAGGACAAACAAACACCCGCAUCAAACCACACCCCCAAGCCAACUCAGGUUUGGCUUCUGUCAUGGCCACCAGCAUUUCUUGAGGAGCAAGCCAAAAAACAAGGCCAAAUCAGCAGGUGCAAUUCUCCUUUAAAAUCAUCACACAAUCUCAGUGCAUACAGUUGAUUUUAUUAAAACACUAUGUAUAAAAAAAUACAUGUAAAAAAUGUCUACCAAUCGAUUGUCA
This is a long non-coding RNA of Oncorhynchus nerka (sockeye salmon), 1114 nucleotides long. RefSeq lists it as uncharacterized. The transcript has 4 exons. The record is from RefSeq and is a predicted model, not a curated record. NCBI's taxonomy places the organism in Eukaryota, Metazoa, Chordata, Actinopteri, Salmoniformes, Salmonidae.